UGAGCAAUCUGCCCUUCUCUUCGGAAUAAGCGUUGGAAACGACGUCUAAUGCCGAAUACGACCUCCUUUCGCAUGAUCGGAGGUGGAAAGCUCCGGCGGAGAAGGAUGAGCUCGCGGCCUAUC
RNAcentral lists this ribosomal RNA (123 nucleotides) under uncultured bacterium. RNAcentral describes it as "partial 16S ribosomal RNA". It matches the Rfam family "Bacterial small subunit ribosomal RNA", at positions 118 to 242 of the family's 1533-position model. The record is from RNAcentral.